AAUGAACGCUGGCGGCAGGCCUAACACAUGCAAGUCGAACGGGAUCUUCGGAUCUAGUGGCGGACGGGUGAGUAACGCGUGGGAACGUGCCCUUUGCUUCGGAAUAGCCCCGGGAAACUGGGAGUAAUACCGGAUGUGCCCUUUGGGGGAAAGAUUUAUCGGCAAAGGAUCGGCCCGCGUUGGAUUAGGUAGUUGGUGGGGUAAUGGCCUACCAAGCCGACGAUCCAUAGCUGGUUUGAGAGGAUGAUCAGCCACACUGGGACUGAGACACGGCCCAGACUCCUACGGGAGGCAGCAGUGGGGAAUCUUAGACAAUGGGGGAAACCCUGAUCUAGCCAUGCCGCGUGAGCGAUGAAGGCCUUAGGGUUGUAAAGCUCUUUCAGCUGGGAAGAUAAUGACUGUACCAGCAGAAGAAGCCCCGGCUAACUCCGUGCCAGCAGCCGCGUAAAGGACU
Molecule: ribosomal RNA, 454 nt
Filed under: uncultured bacterium
Lineage: Bacteria
Description: bacterial SSU rRNA
Rfam family: Bacterial small subunit ribosomal RNA
Source: RNAcentral